AUGUGCCUGGACGCACUGGGACACGGGGAUAUACCUGGACGCACCGGGACACGGGGGUGGGCCCGGACGCACCGAGACAUGGGGGUGCACCUGGAUGCACCGAGACACAGGGGUGUGCCUGGAGACACCGGGACACGGGGAUGUGUCUGGACACACUGGGACACGGAGGUGGGCCUGGACACACCAGGACACGGGGAUGCGCCUGGACGCACCGGGACACGGGGGUGGGCCUGGACGCACCGGGACACGGGGGUGGGCCUGGACGCAUCGGGACACAGGGAUGUGUCUGGACACACCGGGACACAGGGGUGGGCCUGGACACACCGGGACACGAGGAUGCGCCUGGACACACCGGGACACGAGGAUGCACCUGGACACACCGAGACACGGGGGUGUGCCUGGACGCACCGGGACACGGGGGUGCACCUGGAGACACCGGGACACGGGGGUGCGCCUGGAGACACCGGGACACGGGGGUGCGCCUGGAGACACCAGGACACGGGGGUGCGCCUGGAUGCACCGGGACACGGGGGGUGGGCCUGGACACACUGGGACACGGGGGUGCGCCUGGACACACCGAGACAUGGGGGUGGGCCUGGAUGCACUGGGACACGGGGGUGCGCCUGGACGCACCGGGACAUGGGGGUGUGCCUGGAGACACCGGGACACGGGGGUGUGCCUGGAGACACCGGGACACAGGGGUGUGUCUGCACACGGACUCAGGGAAAACAUCCCCGUCCCCUUACCCGCAUCCCCCAAGCAGGACACUUUCCAGUUGUCCAACUGGAACCAUCAGCCACAGCCCCCUCUCCCCGAGAAUGGACGUGGCCGAGUCACUCCCCACUUCUCCCUGGAGCUGCAGACAAAGCAACGUGGACGCUGACGGUCCCUUCCCCAAGUACUCCCCAACACCACCAGGCGACUUGGGCUGGAGGCCCUUGGUGUGCAGCCGGGGUGCAGAGCCGCCCGCCCCAGACUGCCUGCUCCCACCGACUCAGCACCGGCAGGCACAGCCACCCUCUUUGA
This 1026-nucleotide long non-coding RNA is filed under the name Oryctolagus cuniculus (rabbit). Its description in RNAcentral is "lncRNA (ENSOCUG00000038416.1)". Lineage: Eukaryota; Metazoa; Chordata; Mammalia; Lagomorpha; Leporidae. The record is from RNAcentral.